This 420-nucleotide ribosomal RNA is filed under the name bacterium. Its description in RNAcentral is "partial 16S ribosomal RNA". It matches the Rfam family "Bacterial small subunit ribosomal RNA", at positions 355 to 776 of the family's 1533-position model. The record is from RNAcentral.
UGGGGGAUAUUGCACAAUGGGCGAAAGCCUGAUGCAGCGACGCCGCGUGGGGGAUGAAGGCUUUCGGGUUGUAAACCUCUUUCGCUAUCGAACAAGGCCCGCUUAGGGUGGGUUGAGGGUAGGUGGAGAAGAAGCGCCGGCUCACUACGUGCCAGCAGCCGCGGUAAUACGUAGGGCGCGAGCGUUGUCCGGAAUUAUUGGGCGUAAAGGGCUUGUAGGCGGCUUGUUGCGCCUGCUGUGAAAACGCGGGGCUUAACUUCGCGCGUGCAGUGGGUACGGGCAGGCUUGAGUGUGGUAGGGGUGACUGGAAUUCCAGGUGUAGCGGUGGAAUGCGCAGAUAUCUGGAGGAACACCGAUGGCGAAGGCAGGUCACUGGGCCAUUACUGACGCUGAGGAGCGAAAGCAUGGGUAGCGAACAGG